Molecule: ribosomal RNA, 711 nt
Filed under: uncultured bacterium
Lineage: Bacteria
Description: bacterial SSU rRNA
Rfam family: Bacterial small subunit ribosomal RNA
Source: RNAcentral
CCGGAGCUUGCUCCACCGGAAAAAGANGAGUGGCGAACGGGUGAGUAACACGUGGGUAACCUGCCCAUCAGAAGGGGAUAACACUUGGAAACAGGUGCUAAUACCGUAUAACAAUCGAAACCGCAUGGUUUUGAUUUGAAAGGCGCUUUCGGGUGUCGCUGAUGGAUGGACCCGCGGUGCAUUAGCUAGUUGGUGAGGUAACGGCUCACCAAGGCCACGAUGCAUAGCCGACCUGAGAGGGUGAUCGGCCACAUUGGGACUGAGACACGGCCCAAACUCCUACGGGAGGCAGCAGUAGGGAAUCUUCGGCAAUGGACGAAAGUCUGACCGAGCAACGCCGCGUGAGUGAAGAAGGUUUUCGGAUCGUAAAACUCUGUUGUUAGAGAAGAACAAGGAUGAGAGUAACUGUUCAUCCCUUGACGGUAUCUAACCAGAAAGCCACGGCUAACUACGUGCCAGCAGCCGCGGUAAUACGUAGGUGGCAAGCGUUGUCCGGAUUUAUUGGGCGUAAAGCGAGCGCAGGCGGUUUCUUAAGUCUGAUGUGAAAGCCCCCGGCUCAACCGGGGAGGGUCAUUGGAAACUGGGAGACUUGAGUGCAGAAGAGGAGAGUGGAAUUCCAUGUGUAGCGGUGAAAUGCGUAGAUAUAUGGAGGAACACCAGUGGCGAAGGCGGCUCUCUGGUCUGUAACUGACGCUGAGGCUCGAAAGCGUG